Molecule: ribosomal RNA, 253 nt
Filed under: uncultured bacterium
Lineage: Bacteria
Description: partial 16S ribosomal RNA
Rfam family: Bacterial small subunit ribosomal RNA
Source: RNAcentral
GACAGAGGGGGCAAGCGUUGCUCGGAAUCACUGGGCGUAAAGGGCGCGUAGGCGGGAUGGCAAGUCGGUCGUGAAAUCCUUCGGCUCAACCGAAGAACGUCGGCCGAUACUGCCGUUCUUGAGGGAUGCAGAGGAGAUUGGAAUUCCCGGUGUAGCGGUGAAAUGUGUAGAGAUCGGGAGGAACACCAGUGGCGAAGGCGAGUCUCUGGACGACUCCUGACACUGAGGCACGAAAGCUGGGGGAGCAAACAGG